Molecule: transfer RNA, 72 nt
Filed under: Tolypothrix sp. FACHB-123
Lineage: Bacteria; Bacillati; Cyanobacteriota; Cyanophyceae; Nostocales; Tolypothrichaceae
Description: tRNA-Tyr
Rfam family: tRNA
About the family: Transfer RNA (tRNA) molecules are approximately 80 nucleotides in length.
Source: RNAcentral
AGCAACGUAGUUCAAGCAGUAGAAUUCCUUGGAGUAAACCAGGAGAUGCGGGUGCGAAUCCCGUCGUUGCUA